GAAAAAGUGAAGAAAUCAAGGAAACAAGCUAGGUGGUGAGACGUCCGGAAAAGGCAAAGGAAUUGCGCCUGAGGGCUAUUAGUCUGAGUGCACCCGGAAUCUGGAUUUUCGAUACCGGAGUGCACAUAAGCCGUUGCUGACCCGGCUAUGUGUGAGUGGGAGUGCACAUAAGCCGUUGUUGCCUCCAUAGCUUAUAGGGCUGGAUGCUUCGUGAUCUUCCACCCUAUGAGUGCUUUGAUAGGUAUGAUCUGUGGCGAAGUAUGACUCUCCACCCAAGAGCUUGGAGGAGGAGGGAAGGGACUGCUCCGUUGCUUCGUGAUCCGGAGUGAAGUGCACCUCUUGCCGAGUGAAGGGGGGGAUGCUUCGUGAUCUCCCACCCCCUAGUGACAAUAGCAUAAGCCGUUGCAUAUGAGAUGAUGAUGAUGGGAUGAUGUGCAUGAUGAUGAUGAUGGGAUGGUGUGCAUGUUG
Molecule: non-coding RNA, 468 nt
Organism: Theobroma cacao (cacao)
Lineage: Eukaryota; Viridiplantae; Streptophyta; Magnoliopsida; Malvales; Malvaceae
Source: RefSeq, a predicted model, not a curated record